GGUGAUGUAGCUCAGUUGGUAGAGCAUCGGACUGAAAAUCCGUGUGUCGGCGGUUCGAAUCCGCCCAUCACCA
Flammeovirga sp. SJP92 is the source of this 73-nucleotide transfer RNA. It matches the Rfam family "tRNA". From Rfam's summary of the family: Transfer RNA (tRNA) molecules are approximately 80 nucleotides in length. Their secondary structure includes four short double-helical elements and three loops (D, anti-codon, and T loops). Further hydrogen bonds mediate the characteristic L-shaped molecular structure. tRNAs have two regions of fundamental functional importance: the anti-codon, which is responsible for specific mRNA codon recognition, and the 3' end, to which the tRNAs corresponding amino acid is attached (by aminoacyl-tRNA synthetases). tRNAs cope with the degeneracy of the genetic code in two manners: having more than one tRNA (with a specific anti-codon) for a particular amino acid; and 'wobble' base-pairing, i.e. permitting non-standard base-pairing at the 3rd anti-codon position. NCBI's taxonomy places the organism in Bacteria, Pseudomonadati, Bacteroidota, Cytophagia, Cytophagales, Flammeovirgaceae. The record is from Rfam.